GGAUUAAGAGUUAUUUUCUUAAGCGCUUGAAAAAUGUUUUUCCUGUAGCUUUGCCAAAAAUAGCAGAAACCAGCCUGGAAAACAGCCCUGAGACAAUGUGUUAUCCAACUUUAUCGGGAAGUGACAGUGGCCAAUAUUCUUCUUCAUCUGUCAGCCUCCCACCUAAUUUUGAAACCAGCAUGGAAAAUAAUCCUCAGAUGAUGAAUUACCCACCUUUCUUGGAAGAUGGCCGUGCUCAAGAAACUUCAUAUUUCUCCAUCCCUCCCAGUUUUGGUGAGUUCGAAAUGAUACAUAUUACAAGUAGCACUCUUUAAUCUAGAUUUAUUAACACUCUUAAUGUGA
Molecule: long non-coding RNA, 342 nt
Filed under: Sus scrofa (pig)
Lineage: Eukaryota; Metazoa; Chordata; Mammalia; Artiodactyla; Suidae
Description: lncRNA (ENSSSCG00015052602.1)
Source: RNAcentral